This is a long non-coding RNA of Limanda limanda (common dab), 366 nucleotides long. RefSeq lists it as uncharacterized. NCBI's taxonomy places the organism in Eukaryota, Metazoa, Chordata, Actinopteri, Pleuronectiformes, Pleuronectidae. The record is from RefSeq and is a predicted model, not a curated record. The transcript has 3 exons.
ACACACGGAGCAUUUGGAAGACAACAAUGUCAUCAUCCUUCUGUCAGGAGGAUCCAAGUGAAGCUACAGGAGUAUGAUGAAGAGCAAGAAGGGCAGCCUGGAGAGAAAGAGGAGCCGGGUUGAGCCCACUACUAUCAUCCACGUACCACGAGGAAGAUGAGGGAGAGAAAUUAUCCUACCAUUAAAGAGACUGUGCAAAGAAUGUUGAGAACAUCACCACUCUACAGGAAUACACAGUCCAGUAAUGUGUGUCAGAAGUUCAGUAGUGAACGACAGGUACUGUGGAAAAAUGUGUGUCAUUGUUGUACAAUGUCCUUUGACUCUGUUUACACAAGGUCAACACAAAAAGGUUUGAUUGUAAACUGA